GUAUCAGGGCUUGCCGUCGGUCUAGUUCGGCAGUUUGAAAAUGAACAAACUACUGAACAGAGUCAGUAGUCUUACCCUGGAGCUUGUUCCCCUCAUCCAGGCGAAUGAUUUCACCCAACAGUGCCCUUCUAAGUUGCAUAGAACCGAACGUAUAGCUUCGGGAGAAGGCUCAAUUUAUUUGUAUUGUUCGGGAGUUUAUUUCCACUGAACGCUGUUCGAUUCCCAUUCGAAUUGCUG
Non-coding RNA from Pelobates cultripes (western spadefoot toad), 237 nucleotides. The record is from the annotation of a GenBank genome assembly. Lineage: Eukaryota; Metazoa; Chordata; Amphibia; Anura; Pelobatidae.